Molecule: long non-coding RNA, 998 nt
Filed under: Brassica napus (rape)
Lineage: Eukaryota; Viridiplantae; Streptophyta; Magnoliopsida; Brassicales; Brassicaceae
Description: long non-coding RNA (BNAP_LNC026813)
Source: RNAcentral
UUCUACUUUAGAUCAAAAUUAUUUAAUAUACAAUAUAUAAAAAUGGAAACUAAGAUUAGUAAAAAAGAAUCAAAAUCGAUCAGAUUCAUUUAAUUAUUAUCAAAAAGAAAGAAAAAAAAAAAAAAAAAAAAAAAAAAAAAAAAAAAAAAAAAAAACAUAGCUUUCGAACCCGGGCGCAUGAGAAAAAAUAGAAGAGCACAAGCCACUGGACCUAAGAGAACCUUUAGAGUUUAACGCCCCUAGAAAAUACAUAUUUUUGGCGCCUAAAACUCUGGUUUUACGGGCUUUAGACAAGGACCAGGCCUGCUGACACGGAGCGGUGGACGCAGAGACACCGGAGAAAAGAGGAGACCCCAUCACAUCCUAAGACGACACUGCCAAUACAGAACAGUGAACUCGAACCCUAGCUACCCGUAACAGCCCGUAGCCCACCACCACAUGGCAAGACAGUGGUUUCACCGUCGAUUUAGCACUCUCCAACCGGAGGAGAGCUGGUUUCGUCUCUGUAACUGAGCAAGAUGCAGUAUCUUGGAAGCGGCUGCUACUCGAAAAACUAAGAAAGAAAUUUUAUGUAGGACUGGCAAAUAAGAACGGUGUGAUAUACAUGUAGGUAUUAUUAAAUACUAUAUAUUUUCCAAAAAUAUAUACUUUUUCCGUUCCAUUAAGAUAUAUGUUUUAGAAAAAAAAAGGUUUCAUAAAAAUAGAUUUUUUGUGUUUUCUAUGAAUAAUUUGUGAACUUAAAAAAAAAUACUUUACUUUAUUGAAUUACUAUUAUUAAAAUUUAUUGAAAAUAAAAAAUUGCAUAAAACGAUGCAUUUAUUAUAGUUAUGUUUUCUGGUAAAAAUAUCUAGUUUUGAUAUUUUUUUUAAUAUAUGUGAAAAUACCAAAAAAUUAUAUUCGUAGAAUGGAGGAAAUAGUACUUUAAAAAAUCCAGUUUAUACUGCAAAACUGAAUCCAUAAUUUUAAAUAGUUUUGAAACAAACCUUAAUGACAUACUC